This 86-nucleotide non-coding RNA is filed under the name unclassified sequences. The record is from RNAcentral.
AUGUUGCUGCCACCGGGUAGUGAGCGAAAGCUCUCGUUUGCACAUCGUUAGGUCUUAGAAGAUGUGUAAGCGAGGGCUUAUUUUUU